RNAcentral lists this ribosomal RNA (1457 nucleotides) under uncultured organism. RNAcentral's name for it is "SSU rRNA". It matches the Rfam family "Bacterial small subunit ribosomal RNA". The record is from RNAcentral.
CUCAUGACGAACGCUGGCGGCGUGCCUAAUACAUGCAAGUAGAACGCUGAAGAGAGGAGCUUGCUCUUCUUGGAUGAGUUGCGAACGGGUGAGUAACGCGUAGGUAACCUGCCUUGUAGCGGGGGAUAACUAUUGGAAACGAUAGCUAAUACCGCAUAACAAUGGAUGACACAUGUCAUUUAUUUGAAAGGGGCAAUUGCUCCACUACAAGAUGGACCUGCGUUGUAUUAGCUAGUAGGUGAGGUAACGGCUCACCUAGGCGACGAUACAUAGCCGACCUGAGAGGGUGAUCGGCCACACUGGGACUGAGACACGGCCCAGACUCCUACGGGAGGCAGCAGUAGGGAAUCUUCGGCAAUGGGGGCAACCCUGACCGAGCAACGCCGCGUGAGUGAAGAAGGUUUUCGGAUCGUAAAGCUCUGUUGUAAGUCAAGAACGAGUGUGAGAGUGGAAAGUUCACACUGUGACGGUAGCUUACCAGAAAGGGACGGCUAACUACGUGCCAGCAGCCGCGGUAAUACGUAGGUCCCGAGCGUUGUCCGGAUUUAUUGGGCGUAAAGCGAGCGCAGGCGGUUUGAUAAGUCUGAAGUUAAAGGCUGUGGCUCAACCAUAGUUCGCUUUGGAAACUGUCAAACUUGAGUGCAGAAGGGGAGAGUGGAAUUCCAUGUGUAGCGGUGAAAUGCGUAGAUAUAUGGAGGAACACCGGUGGCGAAAGCGGCUCUCUGGUCUGUAACUGACGCUGAGGCUCGAAAGCGUGGGGAGCGAACAGGAUUAGAUACCCUGGUAGUCCACGCCGUAAACGAUGAGUGCUAGGUGUUGGAUCCUUUCCGGGAUUCAGUGCCGCAGCUAACGCAUUAAGCACUCCGCCUGGGGAGUACGACCGCAAGGUUGAAACUCAAAGGAAUUGACGGGGGCCCGCACAAGCGGUGGAGCAUGUGGUUUAAUUCGAAGCAACGCGAAGAACCUUACCAGGUCUUGACAUCCCGAUGCUAUUUCUAGAGAUAGAAAGUUACUUCGGUACAUCGGUGACAGGUGGUGCAUGGUUGUCGUCAGCUCGUGUCGUGAGAUGUUGGGUUAAGUCCCGCAACGAGCGCAACCCCUAUUGUUAGUUGCCAUCAUUCAGUUGGGCACUCUAGCGAGACUGCCGGUAAUAAACCGGAGGAAGGUGGGGAUGACGUCAAAUCAUCAUGCCCCUUACGACCUGGGCUACACACGUGCUACAAUGGUUGGUACAACGAGUUGCGAGUCGGUGACGGCAAGCUAAUCUCUUAAAGCCAAUCUCAGUUCGGAUUGUAGGCUGCAACUCGCCUACAUGAAGUCGGAAUCGCUAGUAAUCGCGGAUCAGCACGCCGCGGUGAAUACGUUCCCGGGCCUUGUACACACCGCCCGUCACACCACGAGAGUUUGUAACACCCGAAGUCGGUGAGGUAACCUUUUGGAGCCAGCCGCCUAAGGUG